UAAACACUCGAACUAGCGUCUUCCAAUUCAGUAAAUCGAGUUGAAAUGACAACUGUUUAUCGCUGUCGCUUGUAAGCUUCUGAUUGUGUGAAGGAGGAAAAUUACUAGAGUGAAUAUUGUCAAGAUUCAUUGUAAAGAAUAAAAAGAGGCGAGUUUGAAUUGUACACCAAGGAAAUGAAGAUAGUGUUGAAGUCGAGGAGGUAAAGAAGGAAAGACAAUGACAAUAAAUGGAGACAAUGGUUGUGGUUUCCCUUCGGAUCAACCUUACUAUACUGGGAAUUAAUGUUAUUAGACGUGUA
Molecule: long non-coding RNA, 299 nt
Organism: Lycium ferocissimum
Lineage: Eukaryota; Viridiplantae; Streptophyta; Magnoliopsida; Solanales; Solanaceae
Exons: 3
Source: RefSeq, a predicted model, not a curated record